RNAcentral lists this long non-coding RNA (474 nucleotides) under Struthio camelus australis. Its description in RNAcentral is "lncRNA (ENSSCUG00000013453.1)". The record is from RNAcentral. Lineage: Eukaryota; Metazoa; Chordata; Aves; Struthioniformes; Struthionidae.
GAGAAGAGCAGUUAGUCAGUGCAAAUAAAUAAGCUCAGCAUCGCUAAAGACAAAAAAUCAGAGGAACCAGAAGAACUUUUCACAGGCAAAAAUACCAGAGAUUCUGUAGCUGCAUAUCUUGAGGUACAGGAGAUUCAAGGCAGCCACUGACACCAAACUUCCCAGUAACCUUACGGACUCCCUGCGACCAAAUUCCAUGGUGCACCUAUGAGAGCGCCUGCAGGCACAAAGCCGAGUCCCUGACAGGAAAACAAUUUACAAUUUCCACGGGAUGACAUGCUCUAGAAGGAAGUGCAGAUUAAGAAGAAAAAGCAUUCUAGUCAGUUUGGCAAGGUAAGACUCAAAUAUUUUCUUUUUGGGUCUUGACAAUGGCAGGAGACUAACCAACUCUGAAGAAGAAAAAAAGCAAACCUUUUCAUCCUUGCUUGGGACAGACCUUGUGCUGAGCAUGAACGUGCAGCCUCAGACCUUGCU